AAGCUGGAUUCGCUAGUAAUCGCGCAUCAGCCACGGCGCGGUGAAUACGUUCCCGGGCCUUGUACACACCGCCCGUCAAGCCAUGGAAGCCGGGAGUGCCUGAAGUGCGUGACCGCAAGGAGCGUCCUAAGGCAAUACCGGUGACUGGGGCUAAGUCGUAACAAGGUAGC
This 170-nucleotide ribosomal RNA is filed under the name uncultured bacterium. RNAcentral describes it as "partial 16S ribosomal RNA". It matches the Rfam family "Bacterial small subunit ribosomal RNA", at positions 1323 to 1500 of the family's 1533-position model. The record is from RNAcentral.